GACGGAGGGGGCAAGCGUUGUUCGGAAUUAUUGGGCGUAAAGGGCUCGUAGGCGGACCGGUGUGUCUGGCGUGAAAUCUCCACUGCUUAACAGGGAGGGGCCGCUGGAAACUGCCGAUCUUGAGUAUGGUAGAGGACCAUGGAAUUUCGGGUGUAGCGGUGGAAUGCGUAGAUAUCCGAAAGAACACCGGUGGCGAAGGCGGUGGUCUGGACCAAAACUGACGCUGAGGAGCGAAAGCGUGGGGAGCAAACAGG
RNAcentral lists this ribosomal RNA (254 nucleotides) under uncultured bacterium. RNAcentral describes it as "partial 16S ribosomal RNA". It matches the Rfam family "Bacterial small subunit ribosomal RNA", at positions 524 to 776 of the family's 1533-position model. The record is from RNAcentral.